Molecule: RNA transcript, 1573 nt
Organism: Daucus carota subsp. sativus
Lineage: Eukaryota; Viridiplantae; Streptophyta; Magnoliopsida; Apiales; Apiaceae
Gene name: F-box/kelch-repeat protein At3g06240
Exons: 3
Source: RefSeq, a predicted model, not a curated record
GGAACGGCUAAUAGGUCCACACCAUUGAGGCAUACACCUUUGCGAUAAACCCUAGACGUUGUUGUGAACACUAAAGUGACCAUCUUUGUCACCGUUGUCUCUGUUUAGGAUACGAGAGAAGCCGAGGCUAUGGAGAGAAGCUCAAUCAAUACUCUCGAUUUCGACAGCUUCCCAAACGAUGUCAAGACCAAAAUCCUCUGCGGAGUUCCAGUCAAAACCCUGUGCGUGUUAAAAUGCGUCUCAAAAGCCCUAAACACCCAGAUCAAAUCCCCUGUUUUCACCAAAUUCUACGACAAGCUCCACUUCAAUCGAACAUCUGGUGACGGGAUGAAACCCAUAGCACUACUUGCUGUAAGUAAUUUAAGUCUCAACACUUUAGAUAUUGAUCACAAAAUCCCAGCUUCUGUUCUUCCUAUCCGAAGAAGUGUCAAGGACACGAGUGACUUGAGAUUGAUUGGCUCUGCUAACGGCUUAGUAUGUCUCUGUCGUUUGCCUUAUUCAUUUACUCUAGUGAAUCCGACCACCCAAGAAUUUCGGGUCGUACCCUACCCGGGUUCUUUUCAGGUUUCUAGGCAGCCCCCAUUUAGGUUGUAUGCGUUUGGUUAUGACAGGGAACAAGAUGAUUUCAUAAUUUUCAGUGCUGCGGCUCAUCAUUAUGGAUCGUGGUUGUCGGUGAUCAAGUUUUAUUCCGCUAAAGCCGAAUCGUGGGAGGAUAUUCCUGCCGCUGUUAAGGUUCCUGCUCAUGCUUUUAGUUCUGAAUUUUCAGUUUAUGUUAAUGGUGUUGCGCACUGGCUAGGCUGGACUGGUUUUAUAGACCCUUAUAAGGGGGAUUUGCUAGUUCGUAAAAUCAUGGGCUUUAAUUUUGCUAGUAAGGAAUUUGAGUUGUUGAUGCUAGAUGAGAAUAUGGAUGAGGGAGAAGUCACGGGUCUUGCGGAGUUGGGUGGGUGUAUUUGUGCUUUAGUUGAAUAUUAUGAUCAGUCUUUGGAUAUUUGGGUUAUGGAGGAUUAUGGUGUUGUUGAGUCGUGGCGAAAGACUUUUUCAAUCAAACUACGUGCAAGCCCCUCUGCGUUCAUUUCCCCAAUAUGCUAUGCAGACAAUGAAAUUUUGUUUCAGAUUGAUUAUGAGUUUGUUUUCUAUGAUCCGGAGGCUAAUACAACUUCUGAACUUAUGUCUGGAAUAUGGACAAUCAAGAAAAAGAAAGGCAGUUGGCUUGACAUCGUGAGGUACGAGAAGAGUAUUGUUUCUCCAUAGGAGUGGAGCAAGAGAUCUCAUACUCCUCAUUAGACUCAAUUUCUGCAUAGCCACCUCAAUCAUUUCCUCCAUCUCUUGUAAUCUGGAGCUGGGUACUGUUUAGAGUGUUUAGAAGCACUUCAGAGCCAUGUCAGCAUCGUUGCCUUUUGUUCUGCAAGUAAUGGAGGUCAAAUCUACAGUGCCCUGUCAGUAUCGUUGUUGUGUUAUGUUAUGUUAUUGUUGUUUGUAAGAAUGAAGGCCGAAUUUUCAUUAGAUAUACCAAACUAUAUAUUUUCUGAGCAUCACAUAUUCAUGUGCAUUCAUAUCUAUUGCUUAUUUCUGC